AGAAGAAGGCUAUUUCAACAUGCCUGUAUCAUCACAUUUAAGGUUAUUUUUGUCUUUUCAAUAUUCAAAUAUAGCUAGGUGUCUUGCUUUGGUGUCUUGUCCUUUCAAUGCUUUAUUAUAGAUUAGGUGUCUUGUGCAUAGAUAUUGUCAAUGACACAUCAUUAGCUUCAUGUUUUAACUUUCUUCCUUUAUUGCUUUUUUACUUUGCUUGCUGAAAAUCUCUUCUAUGUUUUUACCAUUCAUCCCAGCUGUAAUCGUUAUUCUCUAUUUAUUCCCUCUUCUUCGCCACUCCUCCGGCAACGAAAACCAGCUGCUCCAGCUACAACUCUGGCGAAGAAUCCCACAACGGUCAACGCUCGCCGAAGUCCGUUCUACGGUGUGCUUCAACUUCAUUUAAUGAAUCUCAGAAUAACGAGGAAGCUUAAGCUGAGUCAUUAUCAAUUUUACUCUCCGAUAUCAGGGACAAAAAUGACAUUUCCAUGUCGGAGAACUUCUGCGAUUUACCACCGUUCGAGAGUUUCUUCCCCAAUGAUUUGUUUCAGUUCGAGAACCCGGUUACCAUAUCCGACUUGUUUUUUGAACCGGAUACUUUACCCGACUGCAAUAACAUGUUAUUCGGAUCAAGUACUACUAAUUGUGGUUUCGGAUCUUCAUCCUGGCCCGUAGAGGACUUCUUUCAGGAUUUCGGAGAUGUAUUCGGGUCUAACCCGCUUGUGCCUCUUUGAUUUCAUCGGCAGAUUAAUCGGCGAUAAGUAUAAAUGGUUUAAUAUUCAUAAUUUUAAAAUUUAAUUUUGUGUUUAGUUUACCAGUUUUGUUUAAAUUUGUUGGAGAGUAAUUACCAGAUGAAGGUGGUGAAAGGAGAUUACGGCUAUGUUCUUGAAGAUGUUCCUCAUUUGACUGAUUAUAUCCCUGAUCUUCCUGUAUUGUUCUUGUAUUCUCUCUUUUUUUUUCUCUUAAUUUCUGAAUGAUAUUGAGUGCGUUUGUGUUUAGAUGUUGUAUGUGUGAAUCUCUAAUUGUUUGAUUUUGUCAUUUUGUAAUGUUGAUUGAUUCGGUUUGUUUAGUUGUUGUAUCUUGUGUUGUUUGUCCUUCAUUUGAUCCAUUUUGGUGUUUUGUGCUUCGUUAAUAACAAUAAACGACUUUAGCAAUUAUUAAUUAUUAUUA
This is a long non-coding RNA of Solanum lycopersicum (tomato), 1161 nucleotides long. RefSeq lists it as uncharacterized. The record is from RefSeq and is a predicted model, not a curated record. Lineage: Eukaryota; Viridiplantae; Streptophyta; Magnoliopsida; Solanales; Solanaceae.